RNAcentral lists this ribosomal RNA (406 nucleotides) under uncultured bacterium. RNAcentral's name for it is "partial 16S ribosomal RNA". It matches the Rfam family "Bacterial small subunit ribosomal RNA", at positions 30 to 526 of the family's 1533-position model. The record is from RNAcentral.
AUCGAACGCUGGCGGCAGGCCUAACACAUGCAAGUCGAACGAGUGGCGGACGGGCGAGUAAUGUCUGGGAAACUGCCUGAUGGAGGGGGAUAACUACUGGAACCGGUAGCUAAUACCGCAUACCAUCAGAUCUGCCCAGAUGGGAUUAGCUGGUUGGUGGGGUAACGGCUCACCAAGGCGACGAUCCCUAGCUGGCCUGAGAGGAUGACCAGCCACACUGGAACUGAGACACGGUCCAGACUCCUACGGGAGGCAGCAGUAGGGAAUAUUGCACAAUGGGCGCAAGCCUGAUGCAGCCAUGCCGCGUGUAUGAAGAAGGCUUUCGGGUUGUAAAGUACUGUCAUCGGGGAGGCGUUACCCGCAGAAAAAGCACCGGCUAACUCCGUGCCAGCCGCCGCGGUAAUUC